Molecule: ribosomal RNA, 402 nt
Filed under: uncultured bacterium
Lineage: Bacteria
Description: bacterial SSU rRNA
Rfam family: Bacterial small subunit ribosomal RNA
Source: RNAcentral
UCGGGAAUUUUGGGCAAUGGGCGAAAGCCUGACCCAGCAACGCCGCGUGAGGGAUGAAGUAUUUCGGUAUGUAAACCUCGAAAGAAUGGGAAGAAUAAAUGACGGUACCAUUUAUAAGCUCCGGCUAACUACGUGCCAGCAGCCGCGGUAAUACGUAGGGAGCAAGCGUUGUUCGGAUUUACUGGGCGUAAAGGGCGCGUAGGCGGCGCGGUAAGUCACUUGUGAAAUCUCUGAGCUUAACUCAGAACGGCCAAGUGAUACUGCUGUGCUAGAGUGCGGAAGAGGCAACCGGAAUUCUUGGUGUAGCGGUGAAAUGCGUAGAUAUCAAGAGGAACACCUGAGGCGAAGGCGGGUUGCUGGGCCGACACUGACGCUGAGGCGCGAAAGCCAGGGGAGCAAACG